AUACGGAGGUUGCAAGCGUUAAUCGGAAUUACUGGGCGUAAAGCGUACGUAGGCGGUUAGUUAAGUUAGAUGUGAAAGCCCCGGGCUUAACCUGGGAACUGCAUUUAAAACUGGCUAACUAGAGUUAAGUAGAGGGGAGUGGAAUUUCAGGUGUAGCGGUGAAAUGCGUAGAGAUCUGAAGGAACACCAGUGGCGAAGGCGACUCCCUGGACUCGAACUGACGCUGAGGUACGAAAGCGUGGGUAGCAAACGGGAUUAGAAACCCUAGUAGUCC
This 274-nucleotide ribosomal RNA is filed under the name uncultured bacterium. RNAcentral's name for it is "partial 16S ribosomal RNA". It matches the Rfam family "Bacterial small subunit ribosomal RNA", at positions 523 to 796 of the family's 1533-position model. The record is from RNAcentral.